RNAcentral lists this long non-coding RNA (204 nucleotides) under Hordeum vulgare. RNAcentral's name for it is "long non-coding RNA (HVUL_LNC010068)". The record is from RNAcentral. Lineage: Eukaryota; Viridiplantae; Streptophyta; Magnoliopsida; Poales; Poaceae.
UACAGUGGUCAUGGAAUAGUUCUAUUUCUUGCAAUAAAGUGGGCAUGUCACACUAGAGCGAAGUGCCAUGGCAUAAGUACUACUACUUGCCAAGCGUUAGAGUGAGGCUUGACGAUGUAUUCAUGGUGGCGAAAGCGAUGAAAUAAUACAAUGACGGACUCCAUGAUCGCAAGACUGACUGGGCUCAUCUAGGCGUCAGAGUCG